AACGAACGCUGGCGGCAUGCCUAACACAUGCAAGUCGAACGAGACCUUCGGGUCUAGUGGCGCACGGGUGCGUAACGCGUGGGAACCUGCCCUUAGGUUCGGAAUAACUCCCCGAAAGGGGUGCUAAUACCGGAUAAUGUCUUCGGACCAAAGAUUUAUCGCCUUUGGAUGGGCCCGCGUUGGAUUAGCUAGUUGGUAGGGUAAAAGCCUACCAAGGCGACGAUCCAUAGCUGGUCUGAGAGGAUGAUCAGCCACACUGGGACUGAGACACGGCCCAGACUCCUACGGGAGGCAGCAGUGGGGGAUAUUGGACAAUGGGCGAAAGCCUGAUCCAGCAAUGCCGCGUGAGUGAUGAAGGCCUUAGGGUUGUAAAGCUCUUUUACCCGGGACGAUAAUGACAGUACCGGGAGAAUAAGCGCCGGCUAACUCCGUG
This 433-nucleotide ribosomal RNA is filed under the name uncultured bacterium. Its description in RNAcentral is "partial 16S ribosomal RNA". It matches the Rfam family "Bacterial small subunit ribosomal RNA", at positions 29 to 507 of the family's 1533-position model. The record is from RNAcentral.